GGUCAACUUAUGGGUCUAGUUUACCACUGCUUCAAACUUUAGCUCUAAAGCUUAUUGAACAACCUUGCUCAUCAUCAUGUGCUGAGAGGAAUUGGAGUACAUAUGGCUUCAUCCAUUGAGGAGGCUCGAGUACACUAUAGGAGAAUCUAAGAAGUGGGACAUUGGUGGAGAUAAUUGGGAUGAACCAUUUGGAGGACCUGGGUUGUUUGAGAUUGCUUAUCUCACACUAGAUGAGCCAGAGAUGAAGACAAGUAUUGUUGAGAAUAAUGACUAUGUUGAUGACGAUGAUGUUGUUGUUCUAUGAUAAUCUUGAAAGUUUAAAACUUGUUAUCCUUUUAUGUUUUUAGUUUGAUGUUGAACUUGUUAUCCUUUUAUGGUUUGUACUCUAAACAUUUUAUGUGUAUUAUUGUACUACUUUGGGUGUUAGUUUACUUAUUUGUAGUUCUUACAUAA
Molecule: long non-coding RNA, 453 nt
Organism: Quercus robur (English oak)
Lineage: Eukaryota; Viridiplantae; Streptophyta; Magnoliopsida; Fagales; Fagaceae
Exons: 2
Source: RefSeq, a predicted model, not a curated record